UGGUGGAGUGAUUUGUCUGGUUAAUUCCGAUAACGAUCGAGACCGAAUUCUACUAAAUACGUUACGGUUAUAAUUUAGCCCUCGUGGCUGAUUUAUAGCCGGCUAACUUCUUAGAGAGACUACCGGCGUCAAGUCGGAGGAAGCUUUCGGCAAUAACA
RNAcentral lists this ribosomal RNA (158 nucleotides) under uncultured eukaryote. Its description in RNAcentral is "partial 18S ribosomal RNA". It matches the Rfam family "Eukaryotic small subunit ribosomal RNA", at positions 1299 to 1458 of the family's 1831-position model. The record is from RNAcentral.